Molecule: long non-coding RNA, 4213 nt
Filed under: Homo sapiens (human)
Lineage: Eukaryota; Metazoa; Chordata; Mammalia; Primates; Hominidae
Description: HSALNT0299033
Source: RNAcentral
AGUGAGUGAGUUCUGAUAACAUUUGAUGGUUUUAUAAGGGGCUCUUCCCCCUUCACUCAGCACUUCUCCUUCCUGCCGCCUUUUGAAGAAGGUGCCUUGCUUCCCCUUUGCCUUCCGCCAUUAUUGUAAGUUUCCUGAGGCCUCCCCAGCCAUGCUGAACUGUGAUUCAUUUAAAACUCUUUCCUUUAUAAAUUACCCAGUCUCAGGCAGUUCUUUAUGGCAGUAUGAAAACGGACUAAUACAGAAAUGAAUCAUUAUCAUUGAAACUUUUAUCACUUUAAAGACAAGAGAUUGAUUUUGUUCUGGCCAUUUUCUUGAACAACUACAUCUGGGGGUGUAGUACUGAAAAUUCAGCACUCUCUGGAACCCACGUUCUCUCCCUUCUGGGUUAGGGAAUAACAUCAAGUCUCCUUCCUUUGAGCCCUGGAUCAAAGAGACCUGAUAGGUGAUUGAUUGUGUGGGCAGAAUGGAGACUUGGGAAAUGGAGUCACAUUCUGCCCUUCAUUGUCCCUCAGGAACUACUUAUGCCCUCAUUGUUUUAUCCAAUUUUAGGUGUGCUUUUAAAUGUACAUAUCACAUACACUUUUCCACUGUGGAAAAGACACAACCACAAACUCCAGCAUGAAGAACAGCCCAGUUGACCUCCCUCAUCUUUACAAUAGGACAAAACAGCUUCUUGAGUUCAUUGGAAACAAAGCCUUUCCUACAGGGAUGAGACCUUUUCCCAUUGUUUAUUUAUUUAUUCACUCAAGAAACAUUGAACUCCUACUAUAAAAAUUGCCCUUCCUAUAAAUGAAUGAAUUCAAGCUACAGAGGUUAAAAGGCUUAGAGAAAAUUAUCCAGCAAGCAAUGAAAAUUUUGAGUGUCGACUCCAGGGACGCUUGGUUUUAAAUCCAUGCAAUAAAUCAUUAAACUACACACAGACACACACACAGCAGUUUAAUUAAUGUUGAGCAACAGGUUUUUAAAAAUUAUUCCUCAUUUGAUUUUUAUUUGUGAUAAGAAAAUGUAAAAUAAUCAUUUUUAAAGAUUCAUGCAUAGCCCACUAUUCUCACUUUUCCAGCCCUUGUUUGUACAAAACUAUAUUUUCAACAAACUGUAGCCAGCACAUUUUUAUUCUUCUUUUGUGUUUAAUAUUACGGUAUUUUCCAUUUUGCUAUAUAAUCAUAAUCAUUGUUUUAUUGCUGCAUAAUAUUCUAUCAAAUUGAUAUACCAUAGCUUAGCUAUUCCCACAUAAUUGGACAUUAAAUCCUUCCGAUGUUUUGUUGUUACAGGUAAUGCUGCUGUGAUAACUUCAUGUGUGUAGCUUUUCCUUUCCUUUAAAUUAUGUCCUGUGAAGAGAUUCCCAGGAGUGAAACUACUGAAAGAUAAGAAAGAGUGGUAUAGUUGAGAUGAAAUUAGCAUUAGGAACAGAAUUGAAGACAAAGAUCAGCCCAGCAAUGGCCCAUUCCCCUGCAGGGAGAAUUCUCAACCAGAUAUUGACUGGUUUAAUUGAUUUCGUGGUGUUCCUGCUCAUCAUGAAUAUAUCCACAAUAACCACAUCAGGUGAGUCACUGUUGGACAAUUCUUAACAUUUACGAUGAGCAAUGUCGAUCCUACAGCUAUAUCGUAUUGAUCUCCUUCGAUACUGCUCUCGUUGGUCUGUGCUCCUCCUAUUUUGUCUACAGAUAAAAAGUGUAGAGUCAUGAAGAAUCCAGGAUUUAAAGACUAGAGGUCUGGACUGAAGUUGUCUUCUACUUAGCACUUGUGUGAUUUUUUAAGCUGAUCACUUACCUUGUUGAUCCUGCAAAAUGAAGCCUGUCUUUCAGGGUUGUGGAAAAACUCAAAAGAGCCAAUACAUAUGAAAAUCUUUUUUUAAAAAAAGCAACAUAUACAUACGUACUUCAAAAUUUUUUAAAAAUUUCUGCUAUACGGAGUGAACAGAACCAAUCUGAAGCAGGAUGCAACCCAGUCAAGCGAGAACACUGUACUCAACCUAAAAAAGUGACUCUCAAGAGGUACCUGGUAAUUCAGGUAGAUUUCUUAAUAUAAAAAGGAGUAUUUUCAAUUUCUGGUUCUGUAGACCCACCUUCCCCAAACUUCACAAUGGUCCCAGACACUUGGGAGAACUUGAAUGCUUGAGAUGCAAAGUGCUUUGGGUAACUUCUAUUUAAUCUGCUCAGCUCAGCAAAGCUGUGGGUAAAUAUUCAAAAACACCCAAGGGUUUGUCUAGAGCAACCUCCCCAAUCUGGGGAAUUGCACACAGCCAGAGCUUGCUUGGGAUGGCCUUAGCCACAGUCCUCCUUCCACUGCCUGGCCCCUGCCUGUUUCACAUCAUCCGCCCGUAAGCAAUGUGGUAAAGCAGAUUCCAGUCCCUCGUGAAUUCCCCAAAGGUGCAUUUCAAUAUGAACCCCCUUGAUUUGCCAUUCUCUUUUGCCUCUACCUAACUUUAAUAACUUUUCCCUAAUUUUUACCAAUAUUUUCCACUUGGGGCUUUUAUUAUUUAGAUGUCUUUUUCUUACCUCAUGUAUUUGCAUUUCCUUUGUAGAAGAGAAGGGGAGAGUGGCAGUUCCUGAUUACUUGAGAACUUCAGGGAAGCCUGAAGACCCACCUGGAAUGUGAAUAAGAGUUUUCAGGUGAUGGCAGCCUUAUUUUAGGGAGCCUAAUUCCUCUUCUGAAAUUGUCUUCAGAUCCAAUUUUCAUACCACCUGUUCACCAUGUGGCCUGAGGAAUCAGGAAAUUGCUGCUACUGCUCAUGUUAGGAAAUUACAAGAAGCCUUCACCAAUGGUCAUAAUCAACCUACAGCACAAAGGAGUCUUCAUGAACCUUUUGUUCACAACCUCAAUCAGUGAAGAGAGGAAGUCCGCUUUCAGCUCCUCUCCAGGAUCCCCGUGGGUGGCUUCCCUCCACCAUAUGUUCCUCCGAAGCUGUGCUGCCCAGCCACUUGCCUUGGGGCUCGGUACAAAUGCAUCUUGGAGGUGAAGUGCUGGGGAAGACGAAAGUGCUCUUUCCAGAUGGCACCAAAUUAGCCUCUUGAGAUACGGAUUUGCCGGGAAUAUGUUUAUAAGGAAAGCAAACAAAGGAGUCCCUGGAGAUUUUAAACAGUCUAGGGCCUUGGGUGGGAAAUGGGGGAGGUAAGGAAGAAGGCUGGGGAAAGAGGCUGGAGAAGGCAGUAGGGCAAGGGAGGGGGGCAUCUAUCCCAAACCCACCCACAGCCAACUCUCGCCUCCUCCUGGCCAUUCACAAGGAAGCCAGUUUCAUUGCCAGACAACACACAUUAUCAGUAUGAUUUAAAAAUAAUGAUCUGAUUAAUUUAAAUGUGAAUCUGAUUGCCUUUAAUAUUGAAACACUGGCUCUAACAACGCCUUCAAGAGCUUAAAAAGAAGUCUUGCUUGUCUUAUGUAGCUAGUGUUUAUUUUGUACUUACUAUGAGUCAGGCAUUAUCACAUUUAAUUCACAAAAGUCACACCAAGAGGUAGACAUGAUUACAAUGUCUAUAUUACAGAUAAGGACACAAAGGUUUAGAGAAGUUUUAAAAAGGUAAAAAAACAUAUCUAAGAUUACAUAUCUAGUAGGUGGCACCUCUGAGCUGUAUACUCAGGGUUGUGAAACCAAACUCAGUGUUGAUAACCUCAAUGCUCAACUGCCUCUACGUAGCUGAAGCACUGCCUCCUGCCCUCUGCCCUCUCUGCUUCCCAGAAUCAUCACCCUUUUCUGUGAGUUCUUCUUUAUUGGCUGAGAGACACCAGACCCUUCAUAAUCCUGAUUUCUCUCCUCAGGUUCUCAGUGAUCUAGUGCUUCACACUAUACUUGAUCAUGUUGCCCAGCUAGUGUUGGGUUGAUUAUUGUUUUCUUUGUUUUAUCAAGAAUGACAAACAAGAAGCUGUGUUGGGUGAGUGUCCCCAGAAACUGAUCCUGAGACAAAGAUUUAGGUGUGAGUGGUUUAUUUGGGAGGUGAUUCCUGGAAGCAUCUGUGGAGGACUGGGGAGGUGAGACAGACUGGAAAGGCAUCCAAUGGUGACUGCCAUGGGCAACUGAGACUUAACUUGCUGGUGAACUGUGGGAGAGGCUGCAGAGCACACCUGAGAAUUUUUCCCUCUAAGGGGCGAGGAUGUUAGGGAUAUUUAUCUUCCCACUCUCAUCUGUCAGAGGGAUUUACUUCACAGCACUCCCAGCCUCCCCCAUGUGCAGAUCAAGAGAAAGUGCCUAGGCAGAAGUUGCAGGUGCUUGCAA